Molecule: microRNA precursor, 178 nt
Filed under: Oryza barthii
Lineage: Eukaryota; Viridiplantae; Streptophyta; Magnoliopsida; Poales; Poaceae
Description: MIR812 microRNA precursor family
Rfam family: MIR812 microRNA precursor family
Source: Rfam by way of RNAcentral
UUUUUGCAAUAUACUGGAUUUUAAGGGCAACGUUGGUGUUAUUUGAAAUUUUUUUAUAAUUAGUAUUUUUGUUAUUAUGAGAUGAUAAAACAUGAAUAAUAUUUAUAUUUUUUUAAAAAAAAUUCAAAUAAAACGGGCAGUCAAAGUUGAGCGCGAAAAAAUCAUGGCUGUAUUUAAA